This is a long non-coding RNA of Cucurbita pepo subsp. pepo (vegetable marrow), 596 nucleotides long. RefSeq lists it as uncharacterized. NCBI's taxonomy places the organism in Eukaryota, Viridiplantae, Streptophyta, Magnoliopsida, Cucurbitales, Cucurbitaceae. The record is from RefSeq and is a predicted model, not a curated record.
CCGAAAUUUCGAGAAGGAAAACGAGAGAAACGGUCUGAAUUUCGUUUUCAUCAACGGCAAAAUCUGCUACUUGAUUGUGAGGGUGUUUGGAAGUCGAGAAAAUCUACUUCAAAUUCCACCGGUGAAUGGAAAAUUCGACAGCAAUUUCAUACCAUGAUCGAACAGAGAGCAGUUUUGGCAGAAAAGAAUUCUUCUAAUGGGAGAGAAACGCGAAGCUCUGAUGAAUACUUAGGUUAGUAUUCAUCCUAAAGGUUCUGAACGGAGGAUUUGUUCGUUUUUAAUUCUGUUCGUCAACGUAGACUUGGAUAUAAGCAAUCGUAAGGGUGGUGGUAAAUAUCUGUAAUAUCUUUAGUGUUGAUCCUGACCUUAUGUUCAUGGACUUAAAUUGUCAGAUUGUUUUCGGAUUAGUGCUAAUUGACUAACCACCAAUUUGUUGUCGGAUUAGUGCUGUUGUCGGGUUUCUUUGUUUCUUUUCUUUUUGUAUUGCAAUUGUGCAGUUCUUAACCAUAUGCAUUAGGCCUCCUAAAUUUCCCAUGAGCUGAAAAUUUUGAGAGGUUGGAAAAUAGUGGCUAUAAAAGAACAAAAUCUUUCUUGAA